UUUCCGUAGGUGAACCUGCGGAGGGAUCAUUACAAGUGACCCCGGUUUACCACCGGGAUGUUCAUAACCCUUUGUUGUCCGACUCUGUUGCCUCCGGGGCGACCCUGCCGUUCGCGGCGUGGGGCCCCCGGAGCCCAUCAAACCCUGCGUAACUAAGUCGUCGGAGUUUAAACAAAUUAAACAAAACUUUCAACAACGGAUCUCUUGGUUCUGGCAUCGAUGAAGAACGCAGC
RNAcentral lists this unclassified non-coding RNA (233 nucleotides) under uncultured fungus. RNAcentral's name for it is "sequence contains ITS1, 5.8S rRNA gene". The stretch from base 185 to 233 matches the Rfam family "5.8S ribosomal RNA", at positions 1 to 49 of the family's 154-position model. Lineage: Eukaryota; Fungi. The record is from RNAcentral.